Molecule: ribosomal RNA, 431 nt
Filed under: uncultured delta proteobacterium
Lineage: Bacteria; Deltaproteobacteria
Description: SSU rRNA
Rfam family: Bacterial small subunit ribosomal RNA
Source: RNAcentral
CAGCUAGUUGGUGGGGUAACGGCCUACCAAGGCGAAGACGCGUAGCUGGUCUGAGAGGAUGAUCAGCCACACUGGGACUGAGACACGGCCCAGACUCCUACGGGAGGCAGCAGUGGGGAAUAUUGGACAAUGGGCGCAAGCCUGAUCCAGCCACGCCGCGUGAGUGAUGAAGGCCUUCGAGUCGUAAAGCUCUGUGGGGAGGGACGAACCGCCAGGGGUUAAUACCCUCUGGCAUGACGGUACCUCCUUAGCAAGCACCGGCUAACUUCGUGCCAGCAGCCGCGGUAAUACGAAGGGUGCAAACGUUGCUCGGAAUCAUUGGGCGUAAAGCGCACGUAGGCGGCUUUGCAAGUCGGACGUGAAAUCCCUCAGCUCAACUGAGGAAGUGCAUCCCAAACUGCAAGGCUUGAGUACUGAAGAGGAUCGCGGAA